Molecule: ribosomal RNA, 380 nt
Filed under: uncultured eukaryote
Lineage: Eukaryota
Description: partial 18S ribosomal RNA
Rfam family: Eukaryotic small subunit ribosomal RNA
Source: RNAcentral
CAAUAGCGUAUAUUAAAGUUGUUGCAGUUAAAAAGCUCGUAGUUGGAUUUGUGGCGUACGGUGUGUUCCGGGCACUUGUUGUCUGAGUAACCUGCUGUUGCCAUCCUUGGGUGGAACCUGUGUGGCAUUAGGUUGUCGUGCAGGGGAUGCCCAUCAUUUACUGUGAAAAAAUUAGAGUGUUCAAAGCAGGCUUAUGCCGUUGAAUAUAUUAGCAUGGAAUAAUGAGAUAGGACUUUUUUGCUAUUUUGUUGGUUUGCGCAAGAAGGUAAUGAUUAAUAGGGACAGUUGGGGGUACUCGUAUUCCAUUGUCAGAGGUGAAAUUCUUGGAUUUUUGGAAGACGAACUACUGCGAAAGCAUUUACCAAGGAUGUUUUCAUUAA